UAUACGAAUGGGCAAUUGGGCAAUAAU
RNAcentral lists this non-coding RNA (27 nucleotides) under Bombyx mori (domestic silkworm). The record is from RNAcentral. Lineage: Eukaryota; Metazoa; Arthropoda; Insecta; Lepidoptera; Bombycidae.